This is a long non-coding RNA of Strigops habroptila (Kakapo), 589 nucleotides long. RefSeq lists it as uncharacterized. NCBI's taxonomy places the organism in Eukaryota, Metazoa, Chordata, Aves, Psittaciformes, Psittacidae. The transcript has 3 exons. The record is from RefSeq and is a predicted model, not a curated record.
UCCUAUUAAUAUUAGGGCUGUAGGUUUCCAAACCCUUAGUGGCGUCUGCAUUCAUUGUAGGAGUAGAAGGAUGUUUAUUAAUCCUUUUCCCGUGAUGCACUUUAUACUACCUUGGGUCUGGUAUCAUUUUCACACUUUUGAAUCAAAAUCAUAAAGAUGAUCAUCAUAAGGCAUAAAAAAGUUAACAUGCUCGUAUCUAUUUUAAUUUGAUAUGAAUGAUGCCAUCUGCUUUUCUGUGGCGGGUAGUUGAAGGAGGAGGAUGUACCAGUUGGGAAGUGCAGAAACAAAACAAUAGGGUAUUUCUGGUGGCUGAUGGUUAUUUUAUCUGGUGGUUAUUUUAUCUUUCUUUUCUUUUUUUAAACAUGCUCAGUCACGAGUGAGGAAGCAAAAAUCAAUGUUAGGGAGAAACAAACAAAGAACAAAAAUUGAAUUAUCAAAUUAGCUUGUAUAAAGAUCACAAGUGAAGAACUUGAUAAAGUGAAUGUUAAGCAGGAAAGCCUUGUCCCUGUAGGUCCUGUGUGCAGAGUUCAUGCAUCAGCAGGUCAGAGCUCUGAGCUCUAGUUGUAGCCUGCUUUGGAUUGUAAAUUGC